GGAUGCGAUCAUACCAGCACUAAAGCACCGGAUCCCAUCAGAACUCCGAAGUUAAGCGUGCUUGGGCGAGAGUAGUACUAGGAUGGGUGACCUCCUGGGAAGUCCUCGUGUUGCAUCCU
RNAcentral lists this ribosomal RNA (119 nucleotides) under Oryza brachyantha (malo sina). The record is from RNAcentral. RNAcentral also lists the same sequence under 4 other names. Lineage: Eukaryota; Viridiplantae; Streptophyta; Magnoliopsida; Poales; Poaceae.